UAGGGAAUCUUCCACAAUGGACGCAAGUCUGAUGGAGCAACGCCGCGUGAGUGAAGAAGGUUUUCGGACCGUGAAGCUCUGUUGUUGGUGAAGAAGGAUAGAGGUAGUAACUGGCCUUUAUUUGACGGUAAUCAACCAGAAAGUCACGGCUAACUACGUGCCAGCAGCCGCGGUAAUACGUAGGUGGCAAGCGUUGUCCGGAUUUAUUGGGCGUAAAGCGAGCGCAGGCGGAAGAAUAAGUCUGAUGUGAAAGCCCUCGGCUUAACCGAGGAAUUGCAUCGGAAACUGUUUUUCUUGAGUGCAGAAGAGGAGAGUAGAACUCCAUGUGUAGCGGUGGAAUGCGUAGAUAUAUGGAAGAAUACCAGUGGCGAAGGCGGCUCUCUGGUCUGCAACUGACGCUGAGGCUCGAAAGCAUGGGUAGCGAACAGGAUUAGAUACCCUGGUAGUCCAUGCCGUAAACGAUGAGUGCUAAGUGUUGGGAGGCUUCCGCCUCUCAGUGCUGCAGCUAACGCAUUAAGCACUCCGCCUGGGGGAGUACGACCGCAAGGUUGAAAC
RNAcentral lists this ribosomal RNA (555 nucleotides) under uncultured bacterium. RNAcentral describes it as "partial 16S ribosomal RNA". It matches the Rfam family "Bacterial small subunit ribosomal RNA", at positions 355 to 900 of the family's 1533-position model. The record is from RNAcentral.